Blyttiomyces helicus is the source of this 72-nucleotide non-coding RNA. NCBI's taxonomy places the organism in Eukaryota, Fungi, Chytridiomycota, Chytridiomycetes. The record is from the annotation of a GenBank genome assembly.
GCCUCCUUGGCUCAGGGGCAGAGCGUCUGCCUAGUAAGCAGAAGGUCGAGAGUUCAAAUCUCUCAGGAGGCA